RNAcentral lists this long non-coding RNA (5086 nucleotides) under Panax ginseng (ginseng). RNAcentral describes it as "long non-coding RNA (PGIN_LNC003857)". The record is from RNAcentral. Lineage: Eukaryota; Viridiplantae; Streptophyta; Magnoliopsida; Apiales; Araliaceae.
UAAAAAUUCAGGUACGAAUGUUUCAAUUAGAGAGGUUCAUGCACAAGUGUUUCAAUCAUGGACAGAAUAAACGAAUCAGAAAAUUAAUUGAGCAGUUUAAAAGUUAAAACAAUACAGAGGCAAACCAAAUCAUUCAAUCGAUACUCCCAUCUCAUUCUCUGCAGUGCCUAAACCCCAAAUCGCAUCACUCUCUGCCUGCCCAAUUGCGUCUCCACCUCCGACCUCUCUGCGUCUCUACCUCCGUUCCACUGACUAUUGGUACGUCAAUUGUUUUGGUUGUUUGUUCUUCAUUCCACGAAUUAAGGCUAGGGUUUGAACAUGUCUAUGGGCAAUUUAAAAAUAGGCAUGAAUUGUACUGAAAUAGGAAUCCAUGACUCAUGAAUUGUUGAAUUAGACUUAGACGAAAACCUCAAUUGAAUUUAUCUAAUAGAUUGUAGUUAACUUUUUUUAGUUUUCUUAUAUCAUAAUAAUCAUCCGUUUGUGGCGGAUUUCAUGUUUAUAGAGGUCAAUUUCAUGUUUAUGGUUUUGAGUAUUUUGAAAUGAAGUGUUUGUGUGCAUAAUGCACAUGAAGUGUUUGAUAAAAUGUCUCACUCUGUAGUCUGUACUAAGAACAGAAUGCAUAAAUUUAGGCUCAUGAAGUGUUCGAUAAAAUGUCUCUUUCAUGUUUUAGCUAUCAAACAGGUGCUAGCUUGCUGGCUUACAUGUGUUGCAUGUUUAUGACGCUAAGCAUUCAACACUAGUUUUGGGUCUGUCAUAUCAUCAAACCAAACGUCUGGAUUUGUACAUUUGACGUGCAGUACCAAAUGUAGUGGAAGAACAUUGUAUUAAAACACAUUUUUGAAAUUUAUUUGAACGACGACGGUUUGGAAAAUGAUCUCGCCAUUGUUUAAAAUUGGCAGCCUUGUUUAAGACUCUUUUCUAGAAUUUUAUAGAAUAUAUAUAUAAACUUGGUAGUUUAAUUACACUGACUUACUGCAAAUAUUUUAUAUUCUGACUGACCCAGAGCUACAUUAUCUGAUAGACCCAAAGCCUUUACUUUUCAAUCAUGUUUUCUUCUCUGUUUGUUUGUGUGUGCCUUUACUUUGAAAUUUAAACGAUUUUUUAUCAAUUAUUUUGUUGGUGUUACUAUUUUCUCAUUUGGGGAUUGUCUGAUUCGUGUAGUAUAUUUUAAAAUAUUUGACUGAUUACUAUAAACCACUUGUAUAGUUAUAGGCAUGGUUUCAAAGGUUUUGCAACCAAGUUGACAGUGGACCAAGCUUCUCAACUGGCUAGCAAGUCUCUCUCUAUUCACUGUUAAUGUUGGACUGUUUGUACUAGUUUAAGGCGGUGAUUGUGGGAUUAUAUGACACUAUGGCAGCAAUUAUUUCUUUAAUAGAAUUAUGUGUAAUUAAUGCUAUGACUUUGAAACAGAGCUAUCAGGAGUAGUAUCAUUAUUUCCAAAUACAAGGAGAAAAUUACAUACUACUCAUUCAUGGGAUUUCAUGGGUCUUUUAUGCGAAGAAACCAUGGAAAUCUUAAGUUUUUCCACCAAGAACCAAGUUAAUGUCAUCAUUGGAUUUAUUGAUAAGGGUAUCAUUAACAAGAAGAGUAAAAUAGGUAACAGAUGAAAACCUCUAAUAGAAAGAUUAUAGGGAAAGUAGUGAACAGAGAUAUUAACCUAAAUUUUGGCCAACUCUGAGUAUCCUGAGGAACAACACUAAUAGAUUUCCAGAGAUUCUCAAGAGUCACCUUCUGAAUAUCUUAACCAUCUAUCCUUACCUGCCAUUUAUUGCAAUGUUACUGGCAAAGCAAAAAGAAAGAGAGAAAAAAAUGACAACUAGCUCAAUAGAGAAUGAUGAGAAAAUAAUUACAACUAUGCUCAUAAACUCCACACAAAGGAAAAUUUGUCCUUCCACCUCGCCUUGAGAAAAAAAAAUCAAAGAUGACUUAAGACCACAAACUAAACCUUAAACAUAGAAAACUACUUUCUCCUAAAACCUUCCAAUUACAUUCUAGGGUAAUGGACCUAAUAGAUUAAAUGAAGCAAAAUACCUUAGCUUUGAGUAACUCAUACUGAUUCAGUCCUGUUUCCAACUACCCAAGUGGCUAAAGAGAACAAGUCAUCACCAAAAUGUAUACCAGAGAAAGAGGAGAGCACAACCAUGUGCAUCAGGGGGUGCCUCAUAAUGCAGAAGAAGUUUAUCUGAUUCUGCAUUCUUUGCAGAUGCAGCACUACCUCCUAAACAAUGCCCCCUUUGUAAAUCAGUUGCCAAUUUGGUGUGAUAGCUUACCGGAGGAAGAAAAGACAUCCUCGAAUGGGACAUGGAAUGCCAUUUGAAGAGCAGAUAGUACAAGAGACCUAGAAAUAUCCUAGACUACCCUAUCCCCACCCCCUUCCUUCCAUUUUUCCAUUUCAAGUCGAACCAAAUUCAUGACUUAGCAAUCCUAUAAAUAAAUCUUUCCAUUAACCUUUCUUUCUGAACAUUAUAAUUUACACAAUGCGAGGAGUAAUUAUCAUUCACAUAUUGAAGAAAAAGAACAUAAUCGGUGAGGCAGAAAAAGAACAUAAUUGAAUUUACAUAUUGCACUUCACGUUGGUGACGUCCAGAAAAAGAACAUAAUUGAAUUUAGAUGGCUACUGUGUAGAUAACAUGUUGUGAUUUUGUAAAGUUUGUUGACUUACCUUUAGAAAGUCGUUUUAAACCAAAUGCCCUAUUACAUUGUUUUGCUUUCAUAUGGGAAUAUUUUUAUGAAGUUUGUUUUUUCCAAAUAUGUAUGGAAGAGAGGCAGCUCAACCUAUUGAAGACAGCAAGACUGCACGUGAUGAAAUCUUUGUCCUACCUUAUGAAUGUUUUGGACAAGCUUGUUGUGGUAAAGAGAAAUGAUGAUCUAGAUACAAAUAUGGGUUUUGAUGUGGCAAAGUAAGUAUUUUCCUCAGACCCAUAAAUUUCAGCAUGUAUGUUACAUUGUUAUUGCUACUACAUUAAUAAAUGGUCGACUCCUAUUUGAUCUAUACAAGUAAUGUCCCACAGAGAGAUGCCUCAUUUUCAAUUUGACCAUAACAAAACAUAUUUAUAUAUAUAUAUAUAUAUAUAUAUAUAUAUAUAUGUCUUUAUAUAUCUUCCUCUGCGAUAUGACAUCUUGUGUAUAGUUUUGUGCAGUUUUAUGUUUUCAAUAUAAAUAGAUAACAUGUUCCAAGGACUUUGACAUAUGUGUUUUAGUGUAAAGUUCUAACAUUGUACUUAUAAGAUGUCACUAAUACUGUACUACAUUAUACAUAUAUCAUUAGGCCUUGUCUUAGUAUAAAAUAUAGUUAUCUGGAUGGAUGUAACAACUUGAUUUUUAAUUAAAACAAAAAUAAGGUUGAGUCCAGCCUCUCUCUAUCUAUCACUCUCUAUCUCAAUCUUUAUCCUUCUUCCCCAUUUUCCAUCAAAAUCCAUUUAAUUCUACUUAAUCUUCUUUAAUAUCCCAUUGUUGAUUACUGAUUGUAUUGAUUCAUCAACCAACUAGUGCCGCAUAUUGUGGAUAUCUUUAUAUGAUAUUUCUACCUAUGAACUAUGUUGACGCGUCAUUACAAUUUUUGUUUUUUAUUUUCAUUCAUUUUGUUGGCAUUUGCUAACAUGUAAAAUAACUAGGCUCCUAGUUAAUAACCUUGCAUGAGGAAAUUUAAUGUUAGGCUUAUUAUAUGUUUAUCAGAUUAUGGACUUAUGUUUUUAGUAGUAGUCUAAGACCUUGCUAAGAUAUUCAAGUGUUUUCAUCAGCUUUUACUUCUACUUCUGCCUAAUCCUUCUAUUAAUAGUAUGUAGCUAUCAAAGAUAAAGUGGGUUUACUCUAUCGACACUUUAUAUGGGAUAUUUGAUGUACUGUCUUUUAUUUGUGUUGUUUAGAGUAGAAUUGAAGGAUACCCAUUUCAUUGUGUUUUUCAUGCUUUUUAUUCCUCUUUUGGUUUUGACUAGAUGCUCAUUUAUUUUUAUUUUGGGAAUUUGACUUAUUAGAUAAAAAAACUAAAAAUAAAUAAAUUUAGUGAUUGGGUUUCUGAUGUAAAAUAUGAUUUUUCAAGCAACUACUCUUUCUUUAAGUCUAAUUGUUUGCUGAUUGAUGUGGAUCCGCAUAUAACCUUUUUUUAGGUUUAGAUGAAAACUCUUUGGGGUAUUUAUUUUUUCUCAAUAUGUGAUCUAUCCAUCAUCGAUAAUUGUGAUAUCCUUCCUCAAUUUUCACUCCAUUUGUAAAUUAUUUGGCUCACUCGUGACAUUUUACUUAGUACUAACCUUUGUCCAUUUUUGAUAUCUUCUUUGUAGGCUUAGCCAAUCUUUCUGUUACAGGUUAGAUUUUGUUUCACAAACGCAGUAUAGAAAAGGUUUUGAAUUCGUCUUAUCAUGCAUUUAUUUUCAUUGAAUUAUUCAGUAAACUAAUAUAGAUUAUAUAUUGUUAUGUGCUCUAGAAAUUCAUACAAAUAUAGCAUAUGUUUUUUGUGGUGUGGAUCAACCUCUCUCCUUUAUCCUACUAUUUCAUGCAUAACUCUGUUAGCCUUAACAUAACUUUGGUGUAGCAUCUAGAGAAAUUACCUCAUUACUUAUUUCUUUUGUUUUCCUCCCCUUAAAUUUUACUAUCUGAUUAACUAUCUUUCUAUUUUUUUCAUAUUUAACAUUUUUCACUUUAUGUAACUGCAGCUAGAGAAAGUAGUUGUGCAACCAACUCCAGUUUCAUGGUGAGUUCUCUGUUCUAGUACUAGUUUAGGAUCAUUGUUUGUUGUCAAAAGAGGUUUUUAUUUUCUUUUCUUUUUUUAAUUUACGUUCCCAUUUUCAUCUUUUUUUUAUUUCUCGUCUUAUUGAAAUUGAAUUUUGGUGUUUCUCUUGCAGCAUGACGUUUACAUGCCCAACCUUGAUUUUCUUGAAGAAAAUGAUGAUGAAGUGGAUCUAACAUGUCACACUUUAUUCCUUCUAGUUCAUUGUUAUUCUUUCAGUUUUCUUAUGUUAGUUAAUAAAUUUUGUAGGUACUAUGGUCCUUGGGAGACCAAGAUACAAUAACAAAUUUGGUAGUUUUUGUGAUUGAGUAUUAUGACCUAUUUAUAUGUGAAGUUUUAAUUUUAUUAGCUCUUUAUGCAUUA